UGCGUAGGCGGGCUAAUAAGUCAGUGGUGAAAUCUUCCGGCUCAACCGGGAAACUGCCAUUGAUACUGUUAGCCUUGAGUUAGGUUGAGGUAGGCGGAAUGUGUAAUGUAGCGGUGAAAUGCUUAGAUAUUACACAGAACACCAAUUGCGUAGGCAGCUUACUGGACCUACACUAACGCUGAGGCACGAAAGCGUGGGGAGCGAACAGGAUUAGAUACCCUGGUAGUCC
Molecule: ribosomal RNA, 229 nt
Filed under: uncultured bacterium
Lineage: Bacteria
Description: partial 16S ribosomal RNA
Rfam family: Bacterial small subunit ribosomal RNA
Source: RNAcentral